This 288-nucleotide long non-coding RNA is filed under the name Pelobates cultripes (western spadefoot toad). Lineage: Eukaryota; Metazoa; Chordata; Amphibia; Anura; Pelobatidae. The record is from RNAcentral.
CAAUAUGGGGAAGAAAAAAGGAUCUCUCUGCUGCCGAAAAGAGUGAAAUAGUUCAAUGCCUUGGACCAGGUAUGAAAACAUUAGAUAUUUCACGAAAACUUAAGCGUGAUCAUCAAACUAUUAAGAGAUUUGUGGCUGAUUCAGAGCACAGACGGGUUCAUGCAAUUAAAGGCAUAUUGAGGAAGAUUUCUGCCAGAUCCUUGCAUCGGAUCAAGAGAGCUGCUGCUAAAAUACCAUUACAUAGCAGCAAACAGAUAUUUGAAGCUGCUGGUGCCUCUGGAGUCCCAC